GACGAACGCUGGCGGCGUGCUUAACACAUGCAAGUCGAACGGAAAGGCCCUGCUUUUGUGGGGUGCUCGAGUGGCGAACGGGUGAGUAACACGUGAGUAACCUGCCCUUGACUUUGGGAUAACUUCAGGAAACUGGGGCUAAUACCGGAUAGGAGCUCCUGCUGCAUGGUGGGGGUUGGAAAGUUUCGGCGGUUGGGGAUGGACUCGCGGCUUAUCAGCUUGUUGGUGGGGUAGUGGCUUACCAAGGCUUUGACGGGUAGCCGGCCUGAGAGGGUGACCGGCCACAUGGGGACUGAGAGACGGCCCAGACUCCUACGGGAGGCAGCAGUGGGGAAUAUUGCACAAUGGGCGGAAGCCUGAUGCAGCAACGCCGCGUGCGGGAUGACGGCCUUCGGGUUGUAAACCGCUUUCGCCUGUGACGAAGCGUGAGUGACAGUAAUGGGUAAAGAAGCACCGGCUAACUACGUG
RNAcentral lists this ribosomal RNA (468 nucleotides) under uncultured bacterium. Its description in RNAcentral is "partial 16S ribosomal RNA". It matches the Rfam family "Bacterial small subunit ribosomal RNA", at positions 28 to 507 of the family's 1533-position model. The record is from RNAcentral.